This 334-nucleotide unclassified non-coding RNA is filed under the name soil metagenome. Its description in RNAcentral is "partial contains 5.8S ribosomal RNA, internal transcribed spacer 2, and large subunit ribosomal RNA". The stretch from base 1 to 120 matches the Rfam family "5.8S ribosomal RNA", at positions 35 to 154 of the family's 154-position model. The record is from RNAcentral.
GAUGAAGAACGUAGCGAAAUGCGAUAAGUAAUGUGAAUUGCAGAAUCCAGUGAAUCAUCGAAUCUUUGAACGCACAUUGCGCCCGCCAGUAUUCUGGCGGGCAUGCCUGUCCGAGCGUCAUUUCAACCAUCAAGCCCCAGGCUUGUGUUGGGGACCUGCGUCCGACGCAGGCCCUGAAAACCAGUGGCGGGCUCGCUGUCCACACCGAGCGUAGUAACUAACCUCGCUACGGGAGCGGCGCGGGCGCCUGCCGUAAAACCCCCAAUUUUCACAAGGUUGACCUCGGAUCAGGUAGGAAUACCCGCUGAACUUAGGCAUAUCAAUAAGCGGAGGA